Molecule: transfer RNA, 72 nt
Filed under: Dermacentor andersoni
Lineage: Eukaryota; Metazoa; Arthropoda; Arachnida; Ixodida; Ixodidae
Description: transfer RNA threonine (anticodon CGU)
Rfam family: tRNA
About the family: Transfer RNA (tRNA) molecules are approximately 80 nucleotides in length. Their secondary structure includes four short double-helical elements and three loops (D, anti-codon, and T loops). Further hydrogen bonds mediate the characteristic L-shaped molecular structure. tRNAs have two regions of fundamental functional importance: the anti-codon, which is responsible for specific mRNA codon recognition, and the 3' end, to which the tRNAs corresponding amino acid is attached (by aminoacyl-tRNA synthetases). tRNAs cope with the degeneracy of the genetic code in two manners: having more than one tRNA (with a specific anti-codon) for a particular amino acid; and 'wobble' base-pairing, i.e. permitting non-standard base-pairing at the 3rd anti-codon position.
Source: RNAcentral
GCCACGGUAGCUCAAUUGGUAGAGUAUCGCACACGUAAUGCGAAGACGUGGAAUCGAUCCCCACCUGCGGCA